CUAUACGUUAGAGCAGCACUUUGUGCAACCACAGCCAAUCUCAAAAUACCAUAAAUAACUGUAUAAUGAUAAACAGUUACUGUAUUCACUAAUGCCUUACAGAUAGAGAUUAUUAACUAGGCAGACUAUAGCACAACUAAGGAAACAAUCUUGAGUUCCUAUCAAAAUUGUAAACAGGCUCUACUUUCCUUUUGUGAAAAUUCAGUUUGGUUAUCACUCAUCAAACCCAUCAUACAUUCAAGCAACUGUUAAAGGAACUCACUGCUACUUCAAAAACUACUGAAAGGGGAAAUUAUUUUGAUUGCAACACCAUCGUUAUCAUUUCAGACAAUCCCAGACAGCAGGGAAGGAAACAAGAAAGGUUCAGCUCACCAACAAAUGAAGGGAAGAAGGAAAAACAGGAGCAGAAUGAAGAAGACUAGAUAGCAACUGGAGCAGGAGCCCCAAGAUACAUCUGAUCAGAACUGCUGAAUGUCAACAGAUGCCAGAUGCUGUCCAUAAAAAGCCAUCUCCAUCAGAAAGAAUCAAUACUAGAAAAUCUCUAAAGUCUUCCUUACAGAGCAUAAACAAGUACAAUUGCUACACAUUGAACUUCCAACUGCUGCUCAAAGCAUGCAAUAUUACAUACAUUUGUAAAAAUGGCAGUAACUUGGAAGUUAUAAUUACCAUCCUCUACACUGUGGAAGAUUUGGCAUCCCAAAUACGUCUAACCAACAACACCAUUUUUAAACAGUAUCUCUCAAAGGCAAAAGAGCCAAGAUGUAUCAAACCAGUGUCCCUUCUAGGACAAGAAAUCCUAUUAUUAAAUCAAGCACACAGAUGGUCCAAAAAGCCUUUUUCUACGUGUUUUAGACCACCAGAUAUACCUUCUGUAAAUCUGUAUGUAACUGCAUACCCUCAGGGAU
This is a long non-coding RNA of Hemicordylus capensis (graceful crag lizard), 905 nucleotides long. RefSeq lists it as uncharacterized. Lineage: Eukaryota; Metazoa; Chordata; Lepidosauria; Squamata; Cordylidae. The record is from RefSeq and is a predicted model, not a curated record. The transcript has 3 exons.